This 975-nucleotide ribosomal RNA is filed under the name uncultured marine bacterium. RNAcentral describes it as "bacterial SSU rRNA". It matches the Rfam family "Bacterial small subunit ribosomal RNA", at positions 52 to 1035 of the family's 1533-position model. The record is from RNAcentral.
UGCAUGCAAGUCGAGCGAAGCUUUUCAGUAGUUUACUACAGAAAAUGACUGAGCGGCGAACGGGUGAGUAACGCGUGAGCAAUCUACCUUAGUUACAGGGAUAGCCCGAGGAAACUCGGAUUAAUACCUGAUAUUCUUUAUAUUUCGCAUGAAAUUAAAAGGAAAGGUCAGCCGAACUAAGAUGAGCUCGCGUUCUAUCAGCUAGUUGGUGAGGUAAAAGCUCACCAAGGCUACGACGGAUAGCUGGUCUGAGAGGACGAUCAGCCACACUGGGACUGAGACACGGCCCAGACUCCUACGGGAGGCUGCAGCAGGGAAUAUUGUGCAAUGAACGAAAGUUUGACACAGCGACACCGCGUGUGGGAUGACGGAUCUAGGUUUGUAAACCACUUUCAGGAGGGAAGAAAAUGACGGUACCUCCACAAGAAGCCCCGGCCAACUACGUGCCAGCAGCCGCGGUAAUACGUAGGGGGCGAGCGUUGUCCGGAUUUAUUGGGCGUAAAGAGCUCGUAGGCGGUUCAACAAGUCGUUCGUGAAAGUUCAGGGCUCAACCCUGAAAUGUCGAUCGAUACUGUUGUGACUAGGAUACGGUAGAGGUGAGUGGAAUUCCGAGUGUAGCGGUGAAAUGCGUAGAUAUUCGGAGGAACACCAAUUGCGAAGGCAGCUCACUGGGCCGCUAUCGACGCUGAGGAGCGAAAGCUAGGGGAGCAAACAGGAUUAGAUACCCUGGUAGUCCUAGCUGUAAACGAUGGAUACUAGACGUAGGAACUGGAUUGACGGUUUCUGUGUCGCAGCUAACGCGUUAAGUAUCCCGCCUGGGGAGUACGGUCGCAAGACUAAAACUCAAAGGAAUUGACGGGACCCCGCACAAGCGGCGGAGCAUGCGGCUUAAUUCGAUGAUACCCGUAGAACCUUACCUGGACUUGACAUAUAGGGUCUAGCUAUAGAGAUAUAGUGUGCAUUAGCGCCCUAUAC